GCUAUUACACUUGUCAACAUAUAUGCACCCACUAUAGGAACAUCUAAAUAUAUAAAACAAAUAGCAACAGACAUAAAGGGAGAAAUUGAUAGGAAUACAAUAAUAGUAGGAGACUUUAAUACCCCAGUCACAUCAAUGGACAGAUCUUCCAGACAGAAAAUCAAUAAUGCAACAGAUUGUAAAUGACACAAAAGUUAGAUGAUAUUUUCAGGACAUUACAUCAAUCAAUCAAUCAACAAACCCAGAAUACACAUUCUUUUCACGUGUACAUGGAACAUUCUUUGAGAUAUACCACAGAAGAGAGCAAAAAACAAGGCUCAAGAAAGAUAGAAAUUAUUUCAAGCAUCUUUUCUGACCACAAUAGUGUGAAAUUAAAAUCAACUGGAAAUGAGAAAAGAAGAUUAUAUGGAGACUAAAAAACAUGCUAUGAAAAAAAACAGUGGGUUGAUGAACUCAAAGAGGAAAUUAAAAAAUAGCUUGAGACACUGUCUUGAGCAAAUGGUGUUGGGAAA
This is a non-coding RNA of Vicugna pacos (alpaca), 512 nucleotides long. NCBI's taxonomy places the organism in Eukaryota, Metazoa, Chordata, Mammalia, Artiodactyla, Camelidae. The record is from RefSeq and is a predicted model, not a curated record.